GACGAACGCUGGCGGCGUGCUUAACACAUGCAAGUCGAACGGAAAGGCCCUGCUUUUGUGGGGUGCUCGAGUGGCGAACGGGUGAGUAACACGUGAGUAACCUGCCCUUGACUUUGGGAUAACUUCAGGAAACUGGGGCUAAUACCGGAUAGGAGCUCCUGCUGCAUGGUGGGGGUUGGAAAGUUUCGGCGGUUGGGGAUUGACUCGCGGCUUAUCAGCUUGUUGGUGGGGUAGUGGCUUACCAAGGCUUUGACGGGUAGCCGGCCUGAGAGGGUGACCUGCCACAUGGGGACUGAGAUACGGCCUAUACUCCUACGGGAGGCAGCAGUGGGGAAUAUUGCACAAUGGGCGGAAGCCUGAUGCAGCAACGCCGCGUGCGGGAGGACGGCCUUCGGGUUGUAAACCGCUUUCGCCUGUGACGAAGCGUGAGUGACGGUAAUGGGUAAAGAAGCACCGGCUAACUACGUG
This 468-nucleotide ribosomal RNA is filed under the name uncultured bacterium. RNAcentral's name for it is "partial 16S ribosomal RNA". It matches the Rfam family "Bacterial small subunit ribosomal RNA", at positions 28 to 507 of the family's 1533-position model. The record is from RNAcentral.